UCCUACGGGAGGCAGCAGUGAGGAAUAUUGGACAAUGGGGGCAACCCUGAUCCAGCCAGCCGCGUGCAGGAAGACUGCCCUAUGGGUUGUAAACUGCUUUUCUACGGGAAGAAACACUCCCUCGUGAGGGAAUUUGACGGUACCGUAAGAACAAGGAUCGGCUAACUCCGUGCCAGCAGCCGCGGUAAUACGGAGGAUCCGAGCGUUAUCCGGAAUCAUUGGGUUUAAAGGGUCCGUAGGCGGGUAGAUAAGUCAGUGGUGAAAUCCGGCAGCUCAACUGUCGCACUGCCAUUGAUACUGUUUAUCUUGAAUUACUGUGAAGUGGUUAGAAUAUGUAGUGUAGCGGUGAAAUGCUUAGAUAUUACAUGGAAUACCAAUUGCGAAGGCAGAUCACUAACAGUAUAUUGACGCUGAGGGACGAAAGCGUGGGGAGCGAACAGGAUUAGAUACCCUGGUAGUCCACGCCGUAAACGAUGGAUACUAGCUGUUGGACUUUCGGGUUCAGUGGUUAAGCGAAAGAUAAUCGG
RNAcentral lists this ribosomal RNA (527 nucleotides) under uncultured bacterium. RNAcentral describes it as "bacterial SSU rRNA". It matches the Rfam family "Bacterial small subunit ribosomal RNA", at positions 337 to 864 of the family's 1533-position model. The record is from RNAcentral.